Molecule: ribosomal RNA, 382 nt
Filed under: uncultured eukaryote
Lineage: Eukaryota
Description: partial 18S ribosomal RNA
Rfam family: Eukaryotic small subunit ribosomal RNA
Source: RNAcentral
UGUAAGCGUAUACCAAAGUUGUUGCAGUUAAAACGCUCGUAGUCGGAAUUUGGCAGUUCCGGAUGUGCGCACGUCGUGUGCGCACUUCGCGGGGAUUGCUUUUGUGGUCUUGCGUAGGAUGAGGCACUUUUAUUAGUGAACGUCCUCACGCAACCACUUUUUACUGUGAGAAAAUCAGAGUGCUCAAAGCAGGCAUUUGCCGUGAAUGUAUUAGCAUGGAAUAAUAGAAUUGGACUUGGUUCUAUUUUGUUGGUUUGUUGGGACUGAGUAAUGAUUAAGAGGGACAGUUGGGGGCAUUUGUAUUUCGGUGCUAGAGGUGAAAUUCUUAGAUUACCGAAAGACAAACUGCUGCGAAAGCGUCUGCCAAGGAUGUUUUCAUUGA